AUGGAUCUGAGCAGAAUUUGGAUCUACAUCACUGUAUCAAUCCUGAUUCAAUAUUCAUACAGUCAGACAUUAACUGAGUCUGAAUCAGCGGUGAUCAGACCUGGUGGAUCUCAUAAACUGACCUGUACAGCAUCUGGGUUUAGCUUUAGUGGCUACUGGAUGGCUUGGAUCAGACAGGCGCCUGGAAAAGGGCUGGAAUUUGUUGCAACUAUCGAGGGUGAUAGUGAUAGGAAGUUUUAUUCCAGUGCAGUUACUGGUCGGUUCACCAUCUCCAGAGACAACAGUAAGAACCAGGUGUAUCUGGACAUGAACAACAUGAAGACUGAAGAUACCGCGGUGUAUUACUGCGCUAGACACUCACAGCGAUGUGACCCUGACCAUGACGACAAAACUAAGUGA
Molecule: non-coding RNA, 399 nt
Organism: Trichomycterus rosablanca
Lineage: Eukaryota; Metazoa; Chordata; Actinopteri; Siluriformes; Trichomycteridae
Source: the annotation of a RefSeq genome assembly